AACGAACGUUAGCGGCGCGCCUAACACAUGCAAGUCGAGCGAGAAGGAAGCAAUUCCUGUAAAGCGGCGCACGGGUGAGUAACACGUAGGUAAUCUGCCUCGAGGUGGUGGAUAACCUUCCGAAAGGAGGGCUAAUACAGCAUGAGACCACAUCUUCGAAAGAGGAAGAGGUCAAAGCGGGCCACUAUACAUAAGCUCGCGCCUUGAGAUGAGCCUGCGGCCCAUCAUGGUAGUUGGUAGGGUAACGGCCUACCAAGCCGAAGACGGGUAGCUGGUCUGAGAGGAUGAUCAGCCACACUGGAACUGAGACACGGUCCAGACUCCUACGGGAGGCAGCAGUGGGGAAUCUUGCGCAAUGGGCGAAAGCCUGACGCAGCGACGCCGCGUGAGUGAUGAAGGCCCUCGGGUUGUAAAGCUCUGUGGAGGGGACGAAUAAGGGUUGGCGUAACAUCCAGCUCGAUGACGGUACCCCUUUAGCGAGCACCGGC
Molecule: ribosomal RNA, 488 nt
Filed under: uncultured bacterium
Lineage: Bacteria
Description: bacterial SSU rRNA
Rfam family: Bacterial small subunit ribosomal RNA
Source: RNAcentral